AAUCAACGCUGGCGGCGUGCCUCAGACAUGCAAGUCGAACGCGAAAGGUUCCUUCGGGAACCGAGUAGAGUGGCGCACGGGUGAGUAACACGUAGGUAAUUUGCCUUUGGGUGGGGAAUAACAGGCCGGAAACGGCUGCUAAUACCGCAUAAUGCAGCGGCUCGACAUCGAGACAGUUGUUAAAGCGGGGGAUCGCAAGACCUCGCGCCUAAAGAGAAGCCUGCGGCAGAUAGCUAGUUGGUAGGGUAAUGGCCUACCAAGGCGACGAUCUGUAAACCGGCCU
This 283-nucleotide ribosomal RNA is filed under the name uncultured bacterium. RNAcentral describes it as "partial 16S ribosomal RNA". It matches the Rfam family "Bacterial small subunit ribosomal RNA", at positions 32 to 293 of the family's 1533-position model. The record is from RNAcentral.